AGUAUGUCAUGAAAUACAUGUGUACCUUAUUAUUGCAGUACAUGCCCAUUUUUGUCCACUGGAAAUUAAAUUAGUAAAUAUUACUUCAAGGUCAUAAGGAAAAGGACUGUGACAGGUUAUGGUCAGCCUAGUCUAAGAUGUGUGCCAGUAGGAGGGUCACUAUGAUAGGUAAGUGAAACCAUGCGCCACUAGAAAAAAAUAAAUAAAAAUAAUCAUAACAAGCCUGAACUCCCCAUCAAAUUGUGCACCUUGGAAUGCCCUUCCCACUGUGGUCCUCACGUGUAAAGUGAAGAGCCAGCUAGUAAAUUAUCUCUAAGUCCUCUGAUUCAUUCUUUUUCUGUUUCUCUCUCAUAUUUUUCGUUCUAACUCUACGAAUUCUAAUGAAAAUAACUGCUUUGUAGCCAGUCAUUUUCCCCAUAACCAGCUGAACACUAAAUUAAUUGUCUCUUCUUUCUUCAAACAGGAUGCUGUGAGCAGGUUGAUCUAGAACAGUGGUUCUCAACCAGAGGCAAUCCCAACCCACCCACCCCACUUCCAGGGGACAUUCGGCAGCACUGGGAGACAUACUUGCUUGUCGUGACUGUGGAGGGAGUGCUGCUGGCCUCUAGUGGGUGGGGGCCCAGGAUGCGGGUGAACACCCUACAGUGCGCAGGACAGCCCCCCACAAAGGCGAAGGAUCCAGUCCAAAAUGUCAGGAGUGCCGACGAUGAGAACCGUGGGUCUAGAGAAAUCGGAAAAGAUGAAGAAGGGAGAAAAUGAUGGAGGGCAUUGUCUGCUUAAGAUGUCCAUGUGGGAUUUCCCACCUAAGAAGUAGCGCAGCAACUUUUGUCUUGCUUGGUGCUCUCCUCUUCUAUUGAUUACUCUAUGAUUCCUGAAGACUUGGGCUUGUGACUUACAUAACCCCGUUAGAGCCGAGCAUAACGGGAUCAAUGAAAACGGGAGGGCAAAUUCAAACAUGUGCCAUAACUAUGAGAGGAUUCUUUCUGUUGUAAGACUUGAAAAAGUCCUCAGAUCCUUGGUUUAAUUUAAUCAACAAUACGUUCAUCUGCAUACGGCAUUCAGCAGCAAAGUAAACUUUUUUUCCCCCCCUCCGAGUCUUUUGUUUCCAAAUCAAUGGGAAACAAAGGACAUCCCGCUCCAUUCAAGCAGUUUCAAUGAUUCUCAAAUAAACGUGGGAGCAAUAGUUGAGCCAUUUAAAAUAUACAGUGAUGAAAAAGCAUACUUAUUAACCUUGUAAACAUUCUAUAAAAGUACAAGGGAACCUUUAUAAAGAAUAUCCAAGUGUCCUUUUUAUAUAAUAGCCCUUUGUACUUUGAAAUGUUCGUGUGUCUAUAAAAUACAAUUGAACAGAACAGACAAGAAGAAUGAAAUUUCCAAGUCUCCUGGUAAUGGUGCUGUUAAAACAUUAUUUUUCAGUUUCUUAACACUAAGAGGAUUAAGUUUCCUCACCUCAAGAUCAGUUUCACUUACAAAAAGCACUUUGGACCCAUAUUUAACCGACCCUCAGAAGGGAUUCAAAAGAAGCCUAAUUGAACACUGAGUUUUCGAAGUUCUCAAAUGAUGACCCAGGAUUUUCCCUGAAAACACCAACAGUGGCAGCUCGGCAGGAAGCAGGAAUUAGACAAGAGAAUUGAUUGAAACCUGCCCUCCGAACUGGAAGAAAAGCUUCCAGUAAGAAACUGGGACAUUUGAAAUCACUGCAUGUUAUAUUAUUUAUCAUUCAAACGGCCUCCAGCCUUAUCAUGUGGCAUUUUCUCUGGCUUCUGAGCUAAUUCAGUAACUCACCAAGUAAUUCACCAAGAAAUGUCGUUUAGUAAGAACAACCCACCCUUUCAGAAGAAAGGGAAACCUCUUUAUCUCCUUUCUGUCUCUCCCGUCUAUCUCCAUUCUCUCUCUCUGUUCUAUCUGCACAUUUUGCAAUCCCCUCCAGGGUUCCAAGGCCAAUGAAAUCAGUCUCCAGGAAUGGUACUCAGCCAAAUAUAUUCACUGCUUAACCGUAUUUGUCUCUUUCUUAGCCCUUUCACCCACUGAUUUCAAAUUUCUCUUUAAUAGGCCAGCUAUGGCAGACCUCAACUGAAUCGAGUUAUAGAAAGACAAGCUGGAAAACCACACAGGGGAGACUUGAGGAAGAGGGGAGCAGUCUGAUGCUUUCAUCUAAAUCUUCAGGCCUCACUGCCGCCUACAAAGACAAGUGAAAGGAAGCUAACAGCGAUAAUCGAAUGAGCUCAGCGGGCCUGAGUUGGUUUUUUAAGAAAGCGUGUGUGUGUUUCGGGGGAUGGGGAGGAGGGAGAUACAGGCAUUCUGCCCAGGAGAACCUAGAGAGACAGAAACCUCUCUCCUAAAAUCCCGAAGUUCGUUGCCAGUGAUUCAGUACAUACCUAACCAAAAAAAAAAAGUUGCCUAACUGGUUUGGCUGUUGCAGCUGGCUACUACCAAGAGAAGUAAACUGAACUUUAUCGUUUCAGUUACAUCUGCCUUGGACAUUAUUUUCAAAUAAAUAUUUGUGAUUUCAAUGCUGUUUGAUUGCUGCCACUGCUGUCUUGGAAUUGGGUUGACUGACACACUGCCUUGGAUGAAGCCGGCUCCAUAGCAACAAGCCAGGAGAGGCUGCACCGUCACAGAGCUACGCUUUCUGUGGCCCCUGGGAGGGGGUGGGGGCGUAUUUGGCAACUCUGGCCAGCAGGACUUUGCAGUUAUCUUGUGAGAUUGUAGCUGAAUUGAGAAACGUUCUUCUUUUGCCCCCUGGCUCCUCCAGUCGGUGGGGAUCUCUGCUGAUCGCUUUGCACAUCUCAAUGAAUUCGACACAGGCAUUUUCCUCUCUCUCUUCAUUCAGGAAGUGGCGAGUGGAGCCUGAGAUUCUUUCUGCUCCGAUGAUAUAAACAAAUUGCAGAGGAAGUCAAGUCAAACUUUCCCUGCUUCUUUUGUUCUCCCAACUAGCAAUUCAGAAAGCAGAGCCAAUUUCUUUUUUUUUUGGAUGGCUUUUAAAGAUUGCUCUUAACUGGAAAGGCAGAAACUCUCAUGGUUUUUUUUAAAGACAAAGAUACUCCUAAACUUAUUUUUUCAAAAAAUCAGAAACGCCCUAGAAGUUUUUUUUUUUUUUUUAAGGCUGUUUUUUGAGACUUUUCAAACCAGCUGGUUCCCUUGACAUCACACAGUUACCUAAUUGCUGUUCUUUCCUUUGGAUUUCAACCAGGAGAGCAGUGAUGGGCUUUGUGUGGACAGUGGCUAAACCUGAAUCAAUCGAGGCUUCUGGUGCCCUAAUUCAUGGCCAAGGAAAGCUAACAGUCAUGUUUCACUAAAGGUGCCUGUACAAGGCAGGCACCAGACAGAAAGGAGACAUCUAACUGUUUAAUCUGCAAGUACGGCUUGAAAAAUCACACAUAAUUAAUCCCCUCUCAUAGUGGAAGCUAUUUGAAACUUUAUCACCGGCUUGUAAGAUCUCAUCUCUGAGCUUCACUGAUGGCCCUGAGAGGGAAUACUUUCAAACUACAGGCACCUGAUCACCCAGGUGACAUGCUUACUAUGCCUAUUCUAAUCAUCUGAUAAAAGAAGCUCUGUGCUAAAUAACCGAAGGAAAACAGAAUGGAGAUACAUCACAAAUAUUUGCAGGGUGUCCCGAAGGUGGCUUCCCAGGUUGGAUGUUCUGUUAGGUUAAUCUUGGUGCAAGAAAUAAAGAUGCGACAGCCACGUGAAUAUCAGUGUACCUAACUGGUUUUCCUCAAUGGCCCUCGCUGUAAUGGGUGGGCAGUCAACUUUCAACACAGCCCUAUUUUCUAGGGAAGCAUGUUAGAGGUCAAAUGCAAGCUCUAAUUACUUACUGAGCCUCAGUGUUCCCUUCCGGAAAAUGGAGAUAUGUUUUAGCAUGCUAGUACUGUUAUAUGGGUGAGAAACAGAGAUAUGUUACCCCACGGUGUGACAACUGUUAGCUUCUCAAUUAAGGUAGUUAUGGUUAUUACAAUUCAUAACAUUAUGUGAGUUCUCCUGGGUCAGGAAAAGCUAGCAUUAGUAGAAUCUGAACUUUAUAGUAUUUGCAAAGUUACUUCUAUGUCAGAACAUGUUUGCUCAAUCAUGAGCGUCUCCUCCCUCUUUAUCUAUAAAUACAUAUAUACUGUAGAUAUUUAUAGACUAACAGGUUUAUAAAAUCAUUUAUGCAAGUUGCAAUUGACUGUGUAAUUAUUGCAUAAACAGUGGAUGAAAGGAAAAUGUGAGGCUCUGAAGGUUGACUUUAAUUCAUGUUUUAUCUACUAUGCAUUAAACUGUUUAUUUACUUGUCUACAUUCUCCUCUCUGUUGAUUAUUUUCCAGGCAUGCAUUUCCCGUGAGCGACAUCAGAUGAGAAAGGGAUUUCAUUUGCAUUGCAGAGGAGACAGAGAGAAAAUAGAAAACUCAGAGGCAGAGACUUGCUUGGAGGCCUCCAAGCGCAUCUUGCUCUUUGGCACAUCCAGCAUUGCCAUGAGAAGCGUAUGCCUGCUCAUCCAAGGAGGAUGAAGGAUAUCUGGAGCAGACCUGGAUGCAACCCACAACUUGAAGCCCAGCCCAGCACAGCGUAGACCAUCUCAACACCAGCCAACCUGCGGAUGCUUUUAUGAGAAAAUUGAAGACUCAAGGGGAUAAGUGAUUUCCCCAAGCUUCCACAACUUUUGCUACUUACAGCUGAAAGCGUCCCCAACAGAUUUAACUAAACUGAAGCAGAGAACGAUUAGAUGACUGAGGUCACAAAGCCGAUGAAUGGAGCCAUCAGAAAUUAAAACCAGGUGUUACUGACCCCAAAAUCUAUGCUCUUAAUCAUGAUGUUAUAUUGUCAUUAUGGUUUCUACAAGUAAGCAAAAAAAAUGACAGCAAAUGUAUUUAUCUAGUUUCCCUGCUUUGAUCCAAAUGGAGU
This is a long non-coding RNA of Equus quagga, 4881 nucleotides long. RefSeq lists it as uncharacterized. The transcript is spliced from 4 exons. The record is from RefSeq and is a predicted model, not a curated record. NCBI's taxonomy places the organism in Eukaryota, Metazoa, Chordata, Mammalia, Perissodactyla, Equidae.